UAACUGGAAGGUGGCACAUUGCAUGCCUC
Molecule: non-coding RNA, 29 nt
Filed under: Mus musculus (house mouse)
Lineage: Eukaryota; Metazoa; Chordata; Mammalia; Rodentia; Muridae
Source: RNAcentral